RNAcentral lists this long non-coding RNA (1348 nucleotides) under Sinocyclocheilus anshuiensis. RNAcentral's name for it is "lncRNA (ENSSANG00000005511.1)". Lineage: Eukaryota; Metazoa; Chordata; Actinopteri; Cypriniformes; Cyprinidae. The record is from RNAcentral.
GGAUUAGAUAUUUUAGCUGAGUCGCGCUUUAGCUCUUUGAUGUCAGGAGUGAUUUGAGGUUAAGGUGUGGUUUUCAGCUAAAGGACGAAUUACUUAAAUUGUAGCAGAGCUUAUAUUUAAUUCUUCGACGUUUAGCCUUUAUUUACAGUUAGAGUGAGACAUUAAAGUGGGUGAGAGAUAGGCUACUGGAAAUGGGAUCGGGGCAUGUAUGUGCGCUGCGUUGUGCGCCAGAACUGCGCCUGAACUGAAUCAUGAGGGUUUUAACGGUUUUCGCGAGGAUUUGAUACGCGUGUCACCGGGGGGAUAUUUAAAUCCAGGAAGCGUUCGGUUACACAACGGAGGCCAACCGUUCGACAUUCGUUCUAACUUUUCGGAAGUGCGUGAACCCACGUCAGAACGAAUGGAAUCUGUUACAUUCCAUUGGAAGAGAUCGCGAGAGCGCUCGGUUCAGAGUUGAGCCGUACAGGGCGUGAGCCGUACGCUAGUAGACAGUCUGUAGGCAGAAUGAGGGGGAAAAAAAACCCCAUAGCGAAAAUAAAGGAUGUUACGCCAGUUUUAUGUGAUAUCUGGGAGUCGACCGCUUUCCAGCGUGACAUACGAAUCGAUCGACGAGAGAAAUCAAGAAUUCUACCAGUGAACCUAACAUCUGGAGUGGAGACAUACUGUUUCAACAGUAUGGCAUUGUGGAUUUCUUCUUACGUCUGAAUGGCGUCCGACUGCUGAAGGCAGUCAAGCUAGUUCACCUCAGCAGUACAGAGUGUGAGCUGGCCCAGCUCUGUGGGAGGGUGGAGUCAGUCCAGCGCGGCGUAUCUCAGACAGCAUGGAGGGCCUCUGCAGACCGAAUGGAAUUUAUACCAUAUGUACCAGGCAUCCCAAGAAUGCACGGCACAGAGACUUGACCAACGGAAAGAACUGCAGAAAGUGCAAUGGAAAGGGUCCAGACAGCUCUGAUCAACUCAGAACAAAGUGGAACAAACAGACACCCUCCUGCUGGAGCUUACAGGGGCUCGGCACUGGCAGUGCUGCAACACACUCGUUACGAUCCAGCUGUUGGCCACAUGUGUGUGAUGGGGUCAUUGAGUCCAUACCCGGCUCUACAUCAUAUCCUUUCUUUCAGAGUUCCUAAGGACCAUGUUGGGAUGAACAGUAGGCGGCUGAAGAACCUCGGCUUUGUCCAGAAGGUUCUAGGCUCUUCUGGUUGUGGAUGUAGUGUGAAGAUGCUGAGGAAAGCCCUUCUGUGGAUGAGAAGGUGGGGCUGCUGGCCCUAAUCCUGUUAUCCCAGCCUUCUUAAUCCAGAUCCAGUCAGUCUUUACACCUCUUCAGUCACACAAAUACAAACACACUUCCA